UAAGGAAUAUUGCUCAAUGGGAGAAAUCCUGAAGCAGCAACGCCGCGUGGAGGAUGAAGGGUUUUAACUUGUAAACUCCUGUAAAGAAGGAAAAAAUUCCCGUUAGAUGGGAAAUGAUGGUACUUCUGGAGUAAGCCCCGGCUAACUACGUGCCAGCAGCCGCGGUAAUACGUAGGGGGCAAGCGUUGUCCGGAUUUACUGGGUGUAAAGGGUGCUCAGGCGGAUUUGUAAGUCAGAGGUGAAAUCUCACAGCUUAACUGUGAAACUGCCUUUGAUACUGCAAGCCUAGAGUAUGGAAGAGAGUGAUGGAAUAUCUGGUGUAGCAGUGAAAUGCGUAGAUAUCAGAUAGAACACCAAUGGCGAAGGCAGUCACUUGGUCCAUAACUGACGCUAAAGCACGAAAGCGUGGGUAGCAAACAGGAUUAGAUACCCUGGUAGUCCACGCCCUAAACGAUGAAUACUAGAUGUUGGCUUCGCAUGAAGUCAGUAUCUGAGCUAACGCAUUAAGUAUUCCACCUGGGAAGUACGAUCGCAAGGUUGAAACUUAAAUGAAUUGACGGGGUCAUAGCUGUUUCCUG
RNAcentral lists this ribosomal RNA (578 nucleotides) under uncultured bacterium. Its description in RNAcentral is "partial 16S ribosomal RNA". It matches the Rfam family "Bacterial small subunit ribosomal RNA", at positions 355 to 1376 of the family's 1533-position model. The record is from RNAcentral.